This 467-nucleotide ribosomal RNA is filed under the name uncultured bacterium. RNAcentral's name for it is "partial 16S ribosomal RNA". It matches the Rfam family "Bacterial small subunit ribosomal RNA", at positions 28 to 506 of the family's 1533-position model. The record is from RNAcentral.
GACGAACGCUGGCGGCGUGCUUAACACAUGCAAGUCGAACGGAAAGGCCCUGCUUUUGUGGGGUGCUCGAGUGGCGAACGGGUGAGUAACACGUGAGUAACCUGCCCUUGACUUUGGGAUAACUUCAGGAAACUGGGGCUAAUACCGGAUAGGAGCUCCUGCUGCAUGGUGGGGGUUGGAAAGUUUCGGCGGCUGGGGAUGGACUCGCGGCUUAUCAGCUUGUUGGUGGGGUAGUGGCUUACCAAGGCUUUGACGGGUAGCCGGCCUGAGAGGGUGACCGGCCACAUUGGGACUGAGAUACGGCCCAGACUCCUACGGGAGGCAGCAGUGGGGAAUAUUGCACAAUGGGCGGAAGCCUGAUGCAGCAACGCCGCGUGCGGGAUGACGGCCUUCGGGUUGUAAACCGCUUUCGCCUGUGACGAAGCGUGAGUGACGGUAAUGGGGAAAGAAGCACCGGCGAACUACGU